Molecule: ribosomal RNA, 463 nt
Filed under: uncultured bacterium
Lineage: Bacteria
Description: partial 16S ribosomal RNA
Rfam family: Bacterial small subunit ribosomal RNA
Source: RNAcentral
GAUGAACGCUGACAGAAUGCUUAACACAUGCAAGUCUUUGGCGAAGCUGUGCUUGCACAGCCUAGCCAAGGCGGACGGGUGAGUAACGCGUAAGGAACUUGCCCUGCAGUCAGGGAUAACAGACGGAAACGACUGAUAAGACCUGGUAAAGUCAGGCGGACUCAUGUCCAGCCUGAUGAAAAGAGGUGCUGCAGGAGAGCCUUGCGUCCUAUUAGCUUGUUGGUGGGGUAACGGCCCACCAAGGCGAUGAUAGGUAGCCGGCCUGAGAGGGUGGACGGCCACAAGGGGACUGAGAUACGGCCCUUACUCCUACGGGAGGCAGCAGUGGGGAAUAUUGGACAAUGGGGGCAACCCUGAUCCAGCAAUUCUGUGUGCACGAUGAAGGUUUUCGGAUUGUAAAGUGCUUUCAGCAGGGAAGAAAAAAAUGACGGUACCUGCAGAAGAAGCGACGGCUAAAUACGUG